UAUCAGCUUAACAUUUGUAAAGGUAAGUUCGACAUUUCUCAUUUUUUAUCGGUCACUAUUGAGAAACUAAACUAGAAAAAGUUGUUAAAUGGGUUAUUCCAAGAUGUAGUUCGACCGUGUUGGUGAAAGAACUGAAUUUGUUGUUCGUUAGUGCUAACAUCAUUAUGCUAGUGAGUUAGAUUAGCUAUUAUGUUAAUAUUCGUUUUUAGACUUGAAGUUGGAAAGGUUGCUAUUGAUUCACGGUUAAAUUGUUAUCGAUACGUGGAUGGUUAGUCUAGUGUUGGUUGGUUGGUUACCAUUAGCAGGUAGCAGCUACAUCCAUUUUGAAGAUUGGAGCACCAGAACUAACUGCUAACCGUUAGCUUAUUAGCUUGCAGAGCUCCAGCCCUUGCCGUGACCCAGCUUUAGCUGCUAGCUGCUACCGAAGGAAGCUCUCGACACCUGGGACCGUUGAUCCGCUGAGCUCGGUAGCGAGAGAGCUAUGAAUAUUACCGACACACGUAAAAGAAUGAUCUGCAUAUGCGUUGGCGAAUCUGGUCGUAGAUGUCCUGGCUCUCAACAAAGGCACCAGGCAGGAUUGGGGUUUUUUUGCAUUCCCAUAAGCCUGACUUCCUGAUGUCCACUACACUCUGUUCUCAACCUUCUCCAGUCUUUUGCACACUGUGAUGUUCAGAUGUCCUAUAAGCCUGACUUCCUGAUGUCCACUACACUCCGUUCUCAACCUUCUCCGGUAUUCUGC
Long non-coding RNA from Sardina pilchardus (European sardine), 739 nucleotides. RefSeq lists it as uncharacterized. The transcript is spliced from 3 exons. The record is from RefSeq and is a predicted model, not a curated record. Lineage: Eukaryota; Metazoa; Chordata; Actinopteri; Clupeiformes; Clupeidae.